This 143-nucleotide ribosomal RNA is filed under the name Escherichia coli. RNAcentral describes it as "partial 23S ribosomal RNA". It matches the Rfam family "Bacterial large subunit ribosomal RNA", at positions 2800 to 2925 of the family's 2925-position model. Lineage: Bacteria; Pseudomonadati; Pseudomonadota; Gammaproteobacteria; Enterobacterales; Enterobacteriaceae. The record is from RNAcentral.
CGAGAUGAGUUCUCCCUGACCCUUUAAGGGUCCUGAAGGAACGUUGAAGACGACGACGUUGAUAGGCCGGGUGUGUAAGCGCAGCGAUGCGUUGAGCUAACCGGUACUAAUGAACCGUGAGGCUUAACCUUACAACGCCGAAG